CAUGCAAGUCGAGGGGCAGCAUGGUCUUAGCUUGCUAAGGCCGAUGGCGACCGGCGCACGGGUGAGUAACACGUAUCCAACCUGCCGUCUACUCUUGGACAGCCUUCUGAAAGGAAGAUUAAUACAAGAUGGCAUCAUGAGUCCGCAUGUUCACAUGAUUAAAGGUAUUCCGGUAGACGAUGGGGAUGCGUUCCAUUAGAUAGUAGGCGGGGUAACGGCCCACCUAGUCUUCGAUGGAUAGGGGUUCUGAGAGGAAGGUCCCCCACAUUGGAACUGAGACACGGUCCAAACUCCUACGGGAGGCAGCAGUGAGGAAUAUUGGUCAAUGGGCGAGAGCCUGAACCAGCCAAGUAGCGUGAAGGAUGACUGCCCUAUGGGUUGUAAACUUCUUUUAUAAAGGAAUAAAGUCGGGUAUGNAUACCCGUUUGCAUGUNCUUUAUGAAUAAGGAUCGGCUAACUCCGUGCCAGCAGCCGCGGUAAUACGGAGGAUCCGAGCGUUAUCCGGAUUUAUUGGGUUUAAAGGGAGCGUAGAUGGAUGUUUAAGUCAGUUGUGAAAGUUUGCGGCUCAACCGUAAAAUUGCAGUUGAUACUGGAUAUCUUGAGUGCAGUUGAGGCAGGCGGAAUUCGUGGUGUAGCGGUGAAAUGCUUAGAUAUCACGAAGAACUCCGAUUGCGAAGGCAGCCUGCUAAGCUGCAACUGACAUUGAGGCUCGAAAGUGUGGGUAUCAAACAGGAUUAGAUACCCUGGUAGUCCACACGGUAAACGAUGAAUACUCGCUGUUUGCGAUAUACGGCAAGCGGCCAAGCGAAAGCGUUAAGUAUUCCACCUGGGGAGUACGCCGGCAACGGUGAAACUCAAAGGAAUUGACGGGGGCCCGCACAAGCGGAGGAACAUGUGGUUUAAUUCGAUGAUACGCGAGGAACCUUACCCGGGCUUAAAUUGCAGAUGAAUUACGGUGAAAGCCGUAAGCCGCAAGGCAUCUGUGAAGGUGCUGCAUGGUUGUCGUCAGCUCGUGCCGUGAGGUGUCGGCUUAAGUGCCAUAACGAGCGCAACCCUUGUUGUCAGUUACUAACAGGUUCCGCUGAGGACUCUGACAAGACUGCCAUCGUAAGAUGUGAGGAAGGUGGGGAUGACGUCAAAUCAGCACGGCCCUUACGUCCGGGGCUACACACGUGUUACAAUGGGGGGUACAGAGGGCCGCUACCACGCGAGUGGAUGCCAAUCCCAAAAACCUCUCUCAGUUCGGACUGGAGUCUGCAACCCGACUCCACGAAGCUGGAUUCGCUAGUAAUCGCGCAUCAGCCACGGCGCGGUGAAUACGUUCCCGGGCCUUGUACACACCGCCCGUCAAGCCAUGGGAGCCGGGGGUACCUGAAGUGCGUAACCGCGAGGAG
Molecule: ribosomal RNA, 1394 nt
Filed under: bacterium NLAE-zl-P477
Lineage: Bacteria
Description: 16S ribosomal RNA
Rfam family: Bacterial small subunit ribosomal RNA
Source: RNAcentral